AGGCCAAUCAAACCCGGAGAUAUCUCGUUCUCCCCGAAAUAGCUUUAGGGCUAGCCCCGGCCGUUUUCCCGCGGCGGUAGAGCACUGGACGGAGGAGGGGGCCUCACCGCCUACCGAUGCCGACCAAACUCCGAAUGCCGCGAGACAUAAGGCCGGGAGUCAGAGCAUGUGGGCUAAGCUGUGUGCUCGAGAGGGAAACAGCCCAGACCGCCCGCUAAGGCCCCCAAGUCAUCGCUGAGUGGCAAAGGAUGUGCGUCCGCCCAGACAACCAGGAUGUUGGCUUAGAAGCAGCCAUGCAUUCAAAGAGUGCGUAACAGCUCACUGGUCGAGUGGACAUGCGCCGACAAUUCACGGGGCUAAGCGAUGCGCCGAAGCGGCGGAAUGUAUAUACAUUGGUAGGGGAGCUUCCCCUGCGCGGCGAAGCCGGAGGGCGACCGACGGUGGAGCGCAGGGGAGUGAGGAUGCUGGCAUGAGUAACGAGAGCGGCGCGGGAAACGCCGCCGCCGUAAGCCCAAGGUUUCCUGGGCAAGGCUAAUCCUCCCAGGGUCAGUCGGGAGCUAAGGCGAGGCCGGAAGGCGUAGCCGAUGCGCAACAGGCGGACAUUCCUGUACCGCCUCGGGACCGCUAUGACCGAAGGGGCGACGGAGAAGGGUACGCAGGCGGGGUUCUGGACGCCCCCGUGAAAGCAUGUAGGCCGCAGGGCAGGCAAAUCCGCCCUGCGCACAAGGCCGAGACGCGAGACGAAGCCGCAAGGCGAAGCUGCGGAGCCCACGCUCCCUGGAAAAACCCCUAGGCAGGGCCCGAGGCGCCCGUACCAAAACCGACACAGGUGGGCGGGUAGAGCAUACCGAGGCGAUCGGGGGAACCAUGGUCAAGGAACUCGGCAUAAUCGCUCCGUAACUUCGGGAGAAGGAGUGCCGCUGCAGGUGGAGGGACAUCGCUCCCCGAGCCCGCGGCGGCCGCAGCGAAACGGCCCAAGCGACUGUUUACCAAAAACACAGGACUCUGCCAACCCGCGAGGGGAAGUAUAGGGUCUGACGCCUGCCCGGUGCCGGAAGGUUACGCGGAUGCGUUAGCACUACUGCGAAGCGCUGAAGCCAAGCCCCGGUAAACGGCGGCCGUAACUAUAACGGUCCUAAGGUAGCGAAAUUCCUUGUCGGGUAAGUUCCGACCUGCACGAACGGCGUAACGACUUGGGCGCUGUCUCGACCAUGGACCCGGUGAAAUUGCACUAUUCGUGAAGAUGCGAAUUACCUGCGGAAGGACGGAAAGACCCCGUGAACCUUCACUGCAGCUUGGCAUUGGCCGUUGGCUCGGCGCGUAGAGGAUAGGCAGGAGGCUAUGAAACCGGGGCGCCAGCCCCGGCGGAGCCGCCCUUGGAAUACUGCCCCCUCCGUUCCGGCGGCCUAACGCGGCGCCCUGAACCGGGGCCGCGGACCGUGCCAGGCGGGUAGUUUGACUGGGGCGGUCGCCUCCCAAAACGUAACGGAGGCGCGCAAAGGUUGGCUCAGGACGGUCGGCAACCGUCCCGAGAGCGCAAGAGUGCAAGCCAGCUUGACUGCGAGGCGGACGGGCCGAGCAGGUGCGAAAGCAGGCUCUAGUGAUCCGGCGGCCCAGAGUGGAAUGGCCGUCGCUCAACGGAUAAAAGGUACUCCGGGGAUAACAGGCUGAUCUUGCCCA
RNAcentral lists this ribosomal RNA (1680 nucleotides) under human gut metagenome. Its description in RNAcentral is "bacterial LSU rRNA". It matches the Rfam family "Bacterial large subunit ribosomal RNA", at positions 826 to 2494 of the family's 2925-position model. The record is from RNAcentral.